Non-coding RNA from Pelobates cultripes (western spadefoot toad), 2103 nucleotides. The record is from the annotation of a GenBank genome assembly. Lineage: Eukaryota; Metazoa; Chordata; Amphibia; Anura; Pelobatidae.
GUUACAGAAUGCUUGGAUGAUUUAAUGAACUAAAUCUAUUUGGUUAGCAAUUUGUUUUGCAAGUUUGCUAUCCUAUAAUAUGAAUUAAAAUAAUGAAGGGAUUUGUACCUAAUUUGCAGAUACAAAUAAAAAUAAAUGUGAAUUCAUGGAUUAUAUGUUUAAAUAUAGGGAUGAGCAAUUGCCAGCUGAAAGCUAUUAAGACACAUGUAUUGGGGAAAAAAAUGAGAAAUUUUAAUUGCAACAACUAAUAACUUUAGCUUUGCAUUGCAUUUUGGGGAUGCAACUGAGAGUAUUUGCACACACCAGAAAAUGACACAGAUUGAACUGACAGCUCAAUUGCAAGAACAAAAGUUCAGCUGGAAAAGCAUCUACUAUUUUUUCCUGCUACCUUAUAUUAGUCUUUGUUUUGUAAAUAAAUUAACAACAUUUUUACUUUUCAGCAGAAAAAAUGUCGUUUUCAUCUUUCUUUUAAGAAAUAGUAAUACAUGUUAUUCAUCUGUAUAAUUUUACCAGCAUUUUAAGAUAAAUAAGAUAUUGUCCUUAAAUUCAUGUUUUCAGGACACUUCUUGAUGUCAAAAUAGAGCGAUAGGAGACACAGUAAUAUCCUGAAAGCUUAUGGAAGGUAUAUAUAUAGAUACAUUGUCUGUGAACAUCCAUCUUUCCAUGUAGGUAGCAUAGCAGAGUUAUACAAAAUUCUAUAAUCCCAAUUUAAAAACAAAUUUAUACUAAUACCAAUUUUAUCUUUGGGAAUCAAAGCGACCAAAAAGAAGUUUUGAGAUUUAUGUUAUACAAGUGAUGUGUCUACUUACAUUAGAGUUAUUUUUAUAUUUUUAUGAUCUGCAACAUGAUGGCAACUUUAUAAAUACAAUGUAGAUGAAAAUCCAAACAUAUGUUUUAUAUUAAAUCGCUCCUUAUCGUUCUUUAAAUCAUGACCUACAUAUCUGGUUUGACCUGCUACCCUUCUUUAGACAUUUUCCCGCCCUUAGUAAUUUUCAACACUUUGCUAUUUAUCAAGGAGGAAUAUCUGAAACCUCCUGGCCAAGAGAAUGUGGGUAAAUCCCAAGAUUAUCCAUCUUGCUGCAACCUUACAUCUCACCUGUGUCCUCAACUCUCAACUCUCUUUGGACUGUAAGCUUGAACGAGCAAGCCCUUCAACAGUUUAUGUUUCAAACUAAACAUUUAGUCAACUUAUCUGUAGUUUGAUUAAAUAGUAUAGAAGAUAGGCCCUUUACAGUAAAACAUGAAUUAUAAAAAAAGUUAUGAUGUAUUAUUUUAUUAUUUUUUUAUUGGCAGGACAAGGUCAUGAGUAUAAAAUCACUCCUUGUGAACUGACCUUAGGUAUAUUGAAUAGGACUGGAAUCAAUCAUGACACCAUAGGAAGCCGAGUUUGGCAUCUUUAACCUUUUAGAAUUUUCAGAAUACUUUCAGCAGUAUAAGCAUCAGACAAACAGGCUAAGGUUGUUGAAUGAUAAUUAAAGUCUAUUUUCUGCAUCUAGGAGCACUCGGUGGGUCGUUCCACACCUUAAGUGUUACUAAAGAUUUCUGGCUGGGUAAGAUCAAUAUUCUGAAACACAGACAUCAUUUAUUGUUUCAUUUGGCCUGCAGGGGACCACACAUCUUUCUACUUAGUAAAACAAAAAAAUUCAAUGUUUUCUCAGAAACAUUCAUUAAUUUGAAAUAUCCUGAAGCAGCAAUUCUUAGACAUAAGUCACUUUAGGGUGGCUGGCUAUAACUGCUUACGCUUUGAUUGUAAUGCAUUUUUUGGGGGGUAAUUAUUAGCAGGGUGCAUUAAUAACAAUCCAAAGCUUGUUGAGGCAGUACAUUUUUACAAAGUUGCUUUGUGUGAAUUGACAACAAAAAUUCUACAUUUCCAUUAUUUCAAAGAGAUUUAAUGUUACAUCAGGGAAGUUUAGCUGUAUAACAAAAAAUGUUGCUUGUCACUUAUUUUGAAUGUGCUGCUGAACCACCUUAUAAAUAGUUUAAACCUGGAAGACUAUUAUAUUACGUAAAUUGCCAAAUGCUGCAUAAGAACAUAAUAUACAAUGAACAGGUUUAACCAAUUGGUAUUAUAUGUAUAGUUUGAAAAUUAAAUGUGAUCUAUGC